UUUGGACUGAAGGGAGCUCUA
This 21-nucleotide microRNA is filed under the name Cynara cardunculus var. scolymus (artichoke). RNAcentral's name for it is "cca-miR159d". Lineage: Eukaryota; Viridiplantae; Streptophyta; Magnoliopsida; Asterales; Asteraceae. RNAcentral also lists the same sequence under 1 other name. The record is from RNAcentral.